AACGAACGCUGGCGGCGUGCCUAACACAUGCAAGUCGAACGAGAAUUUUCCCUUCGGGGAAAUAGUAAAGUGGCGCAAGGGUGAGUAACACGUGAAUAAUCUGCCUACGAAUUUGGGAUAACGCGGCGAAAGCUGUGCUAAUACCGAAUAAGACCACAUCUCUUAUGGGUUGUGGCCAAAGGAGCCUCAAGCUCCGUUUGUAGAUGAGUUCGCGGACCAUUAGCUUGUUGGAGGGAUAACAGCCCCCCAACGGCGACGAUGGUUAGCCGGCCUGAGAGGGUGAUCGGCCACACUGGAACUGAGACACGGUCCAGACUCCUACGGGAGGCAGCAGUGGGGAAUAUUGCGCAAUGGGCGAAAGCCUGACGCAGCAAUGCCGCGUGUGUGAAG
RNAcentral lists this ribosomal RNA (390 nucleotides) under uncultured Nitrospina sp. RNAcentral describes it as "bacterial SSU rRNA". It matches the Rfam family "Bacterial small subunit ribosomal RNA", at positions 29 to 410 of the family's 1533-position model. Lineage: Bacteria; Pseudomonadati; Nitrospinota; Nitrospinia; Nitrospinales; Nitrospinaceae. The record is from RNAcentral.